This 1143-nucleotide long non-coding RNA is filed under the name Hordeum vulgare. Its description in RNAcentral is "long non-coding RNA (HVUL_LNC011434)". Lineage: Eukaryota; Viridiplantae; Streptophyta; Magnoliopsida; Poales; Poaceae. The record is from RNAcentral.
UGAAAUUGUGUGAUAGGUGACAGAUUUGUUGGAGGAACAUGAUGAGCAUUUAUAUCCAUUGUGUUAUCCCAUUAGCACAUCCAAAAUAAAUCAAACUUGUGUCUCACACAACAAAAGAAAACCCUCUUCCCUGUAAUUGACGUACAUGUAUAGAGUGUAGACUUCAUCCUUCCUUCCACUACUGCUUCUCCAAGAGGAUUGGCCCGAGGAAAUCUCAGCAGCUCCUAGAGUAGUUGAGAAAAUAUUUUAUACAAAUAAAAAUCAAUGAUCUGAUAUCUUUCUACAUCUGGAACAUGGAAAUUUACUACCCAUGUAAUUAAACCUUACCACUCCCUGUCAGCAACGGACAAUUAAAUACCCAGAGAAGGCAAAUCUAUUACGGAGAAGCACAAACAUGAGAUAGGAGUGGUCUCUCAAUUAACUUCCGCCCCUGCACUAAUAUAUCACUAAAAGCUGAACCCUGGAUGAGAAAUUCAGCAUUAUAGAAGGGAAUAACCUUACGUAACAAAUACAAAGUAUAUAUACUCCAGAGGUAUUAAAGUAAAGUAUAAAUUGGCUCGUAACAAACAAAGCAUGGAGUCUAAAAUCCAACAAUUUGAUCGAGCAACAGGACUUAGACGGAGCAUCAAGAGAACACGUAUUCAUGGCCAUAGCCAUCAACAUCAGGUGAAGAAAUCAUGCAUCUUGCUUGUGUAGAGUGUGCAAUAAUAUACUGAUUGUUCACAUAAUGAUUACCAAAAUCACCGUGGUAUGGAGAUUAGCCUAGAUAUAAACUCCUACAUUAUCUUAUGGAGAUUAUCCAUGAUGAUAGGCAGCACACACCAUGCUCUCUAAUGUUUCAGAUAAAAGUUGAAAAGGUUAAACGAAGUAAAGAAGACACAUCGUAAUGAAGUUCUCUAUUUGUGAGGCAACAUGCGAGCAUGCCUUAUACACGUGGAUAGAUGAUUGCAUGAGCUUAGAAUUAGGGAUGGCGACAACUUGGAGACCACAGAAGCUAGAUGCUAGAAGGAGAGAAAGGAACCUGUGUAGCGGGAGGGCUAAGGAGCCGAGAGUAAGGGGUGGCAGAUCCAAUAAAGACAUCUCGAGCGGCGGCGGCGGCGGACGUUGGCUGAGGAGCGUGUUAGAUAGGAUGAUGAGAGGACG